Populus trichocarpa (black cottonwood) is the source of this 128-nucleotide non-coding RNA. The record is from Rfam. NCBI's taxonomy places the organism in Eukaryota, Viridiplantae, Streptophyta, Magnoliopsida, Malpighiales, Salicaceae.
UUUAGAACUCGAGAUAUGGGCUGAACACUAAAUAAUGUCUGGGCUGCAGGACAGAUUCGGACUUCUUUGUUGUUGCUGCCAUUUGGACUCCACAUGAAAGUUGUAGGCCUAUGUAUUAGCUUUCCAUC